UGUAUUCACUACUGUAAGUCGCUCUGGAUAAGAGCGUCUGCUAAAUGAUGUAAA
Molecule: non-coding RNA, 54 nt
Organism: Salmo salar (Atlantic salmon)
Lineage: Eukaryota; Metazoa; Chordata; Actinopteri; Salmoniformes; Salmonidae
Source: Rfam